GAUGAACGCUGGCGGCGUGCUUAACACAUGCAAGUCGAACGGAAAGGCCUGUACUUGUACAGGUACUCGAGUGGCGAACGGGUGAGUAACACGUGGGUGAUCUGCCCUGCACUAUGGGAUAAGCUUGGGAAACUGGGUCUAAUACCAUAUAGGACCACUUCUUGGAUGUUGUGGUGGAAAGCUUUUGCGGUGUGGGAUGAGCCUGCGGCCUAUCAGCUUGUUGGUGGGGUAAUGGCCUACCAAGGCGGCGACGGGUAUCCGGCCUGAGAGGGUGUACGGACACAUUGGGACUGAGAUACGGCCCAGACUCCUACGGGAGGCAGCAGUGGGGAAUAUUGCACAAUGGGCGCAAGCCUGAUGCAGCGACGCCGCGUGGGGGAUGACGGCCUUCGGGUUGUAAACUCCUUUCGCUAUCGACGAAGCCACUUGUGGUGACGGUAGGUAGAUAAGAAGCACCGGCUAACUACGUGCCAGCCGCCGCGGUAA
This 486-nucleotide ribosomal RNA is filed under the name uncultured bacterium. RNAcentral describes it as "partial 16S ribosomal RNA". It matches the Rfam family "Bacterial small subunit ribosomal RNA", at positions 28 to 523 of the family's 1533-position model. The record is from RNAcentral.